Molecule: long non-coding RNA, 1083 nt
Organism: Panicum virgatum (switchgrass)
Lineage: Eukaryota; Viridiplantae; Streptophyta; Magnoliopsida; Poales; Poaceae
Exons: 3
Source: RefSeq, a predicted model, not a curated record
GCUCUGCCCCCCACCCCCCAGCCCACCCACACACAAAGACCCAGCUCGCGAGCAGAUCGCCAGAUCCCGACGACACCCGACGCCGCCGCUCCUCCCGAUGGCGCGUUCCCUCCUCCCGACAUCGCCCCUCCUCCCAAUGGCGCUCCUCUCCUCCGACGGCGCUCCCUCCUCCCAGCUCGCGAUCCGUUUCCCGACACCGCUCCGCCGUCCUCUCGUCGCCGAUCCCGUGACUGGCGCCGCCCGCCGCCAGCUGCUGACCAUCCCCCGCAUUCAAGGCGAUGCCCUCCCGUUCCUGACGCCGCUCGCUCCUCCCAUCGCCGUUCCGCGAGUCCGAUCCGUCCUCCCGUCACCGUCGAUCCCUCUCUGCCUGCCUUCCGAUCAGGUAAAGGUUUGGUUACAAUGAAGGGUUUUAACGGAUCAUUUCCUAAUGCUGCGUCAUCUGCUAAGAUAUUUGCUGUUCUUGCUGGUGUUCAAAGUUUGGUAGCCUGCUCUUUGAGAAAACUAUGUGGAAAAGAUGAUAGUUUGUCUUCGGGGAUACGUGCAUCUCAAUUGAAAAUAUUACACUAUCAUUAUUAUCGUAUUUUGCAUGUUAACUAGUUUUUUCAUUCACAUUUGUUAUUUGCAACUAUGAAAUUAACACAAUGCUGACUCCUUAUUGGAAAGUACAUUUGGAAAUAAAAUUGCUAGAGAGAGAGGAGCUCGCUGCUGGCGCAUCCUGGAGGGAGGAGCAAAGCUCUGUUGUCAUUGCAAGGUUGAUGAUAAUGGCAAGCACAACAGGUCGGCUGGGCAGGAAACAGAUUGUGACAGCAUAAACUUAUUCCUUGAGUUACAAAGUCUGUGUUGUAUUAGUGAUGCGUUCCUCAGGAUUGAAAGUUUAGCCUGCUUUAUUAAAAAUAUUACAUUUUGUAAAAACUAUUGUUCGUUAGGUGGCUAGUCUCUGAUAGGGUCUCUUUUUUGGCAAGGGCCAUGUAUCUCUGUAUGUAUGUUCUUUUCUUUGUGAUUAAAAAUAUUCAGCAGAAGCCUCCUUGGUGUUUCCUCGCGGAAACAUAAAUACCAACAGUUCAUACGACUUUUCUUUCACUA